UUAGAGGCAAAUAAUUUUCACCAAUGUCAGAUAAGUGUCAAGUUCUUCCUUGUCAUGCAACACUGGGGGAGAAUACAAUGGAGAUCCUAAAAACACCCUUCUCUAUCAAAUCACUAAAUCAGAAUAGAAUUGAAUAUACUGAAGCAUACGCCUCAUGUAUAGUAAAUACAACAUGAUAAUGCAAUUCUCUCUCCUCCAAAAUUAAAAAU
This 209-nucleotide unclassified non-coding RNA is filed under the name Hevea brasiliensis (rubber tree). Lineage: Eukaryota; Viridiplantae; Streptophyta; Magnoliopsida; Malpighiales; Euphorbiaceae. The record is from RNAcentral.